Clupea harengus (Atlantic herring) is the source of this 662-nucleotide long non-coding RNA. NCBI's taxonomy places the organism in Eukaryota, Metazoa, Chordata, Actinopteri, Clupeiformes, Clupeidae. The record is from Ensembl.
CGUGUUCCGUCAUGGAAGGGAAAUACUGAACUUCCCUAAAUGUUAAUUUGCUUAGGACAGAAAAUAAAUGGACGACUGUCGAUGGCUGACCCUGUGUGUGGCCUCGGAUGAGUCCUCGGCGGGCGACUCGGUUGGUUUCUGCACCUGGCUGAUCCCUCGCUCCUCCUCGUCGAAGCUCAGGAUGAGGCAGAUGCUGUUACCCAGAGACCUCGUCACCUUGCCCGGGUCGUCAACAAUGACGCUGGAGACGCUGGUGACACUGGCUGAGCCUGGGUUAAUGGGCGCCGUGGCAACCCUGGGUGCACUUGUGACACUGAGGCUGCUAGACACACUUCCUGUGUGCUUGUGCUCGGGACCCGAUGGAGCCAGGUGAGCGUUUCCGGAGCCUUCCACAAGACCUGGUGACCUCUUCCUCUGAUUCAGUUGAUCCUUCUGGGACCUCCAGUUGUCUUGGAUCCAUCCCAGCAUGCUUUGCAGCUCAUCGGUUCUUUCCCUGAUCUGGGUCAGAGAGUGGACAACGGUUCAGUGCUUGGGAGGUCGUCAUGGUUACAGCAGAACUAGGUCAAGUAGUUAUUAAUAUAAACUGCAUGACAGCAUAAAAGCAUGACCACUCACAGUAUUGCACGUGCACAUUCUUUAGAUAUUCCAUCAUUCAGAACCAC